GAUGAACGCUAGCGGCAGGCCUAAUACAUGCAAGUCGGACGGGAUUCAGGAGCUUGCUUCUGAUGAGAGUGGCGCACGGGUGCGUAACACGUAUGUAACCUACCUUUAUCAGGGGGAUAGCCUCUCGAAAGAGAGAUUAAGCCCGCAUAAAAUCACAGCACAGCAUUGUGUAAUGAUCAAAUAUUUAUAGGAUAAAGAUGGGCAUGCGGAACAUUAGCUAGAUGGCGGGGUAACGGCCCACCAUGGCGACGAUGUUUAGGGGAUCUGAGAGGAUGGCCCCCCACACUGGGACUGAGACACGGACCAGACUCCUACGGGAGGCAGCAGUAAGGAAUAUUGGUCAAUGGGCGGAAGCCUGAACCAGCCAUGCCGCGUGCAGGAAGACGGCCCUACGGGUUGUAAACUGCUUUUAUACGGGAAUAAACCCAGAUACGUGUAUCUGGCUGAAUGUACUGUAAGAAUAAGGAUCGGCUAACUCCGUG
RNAcentral lists this ribosomal RNA (482 nucleotides) under uncultured bacterium. RNAcentral's name for it is "partial 16S ribosomal RNA". It matches the Rfam family "Bacterial small subunit ribosomal RNA", at positions 28 to 507 of the family's 1533-position model. The record is from RNAcentral.